GACGAACGCUGGCGGCGUGCCUAAUACAUGCAAGUUGAGCGCUGAAGGUUGGUACUUGUACCAACUGGAUGAGCAGCGAACGGGUGAGUAACGCGUGGGGAAUCUGCCUUUGAGCGGGGGACAACAUUUGGAAACGAAUGCUAAUACCGCAUAAAAACUUUAAACACAAGUUUUAAGUUUGAAAGAUGCAAUUGCAUCACUCAAAGAUGAUCCCGCGUUGUAUUAGCUAGUUGGUGAGGUAAAGGCUCACCAAGGCGAUGAUACGUAGCCGACCUGAGAGGGUGAUCAGCCACAUUGGGACUGGAACACGGCCCAAACUCCUACGGGAGGCAGCAGUGGGGAAUUUUGGACAAUGGGCGAAAGUCUGACCGAGCAACGCCGCGGGAAGGAAGAAGGUUUUCGGGUUGUAAAACGCUGUUGGAAGGAAAGAAAGGGGUGGGGAGAGGAAACCCGACUAAGGGAGGGAAACUACCCAGAAGGGGCCGCUAAACUAGUG
RNAcentral lists this ribosomal RNA (496 nucleotides) under uncultured bacterium. Its description in RNAcentral is "partial 16S ribosomal RNA". It matches the Rfam family "Bacterial small subunit ribosomal RNA", at positions 28 to 507 of the family's 1533-position model. The record is from RNAcentral.